UUUGCUACGAGGUAUGUCAAUACAUGAAACAUACCCAAAGAUGUGCUUUGUCAAGAAGGCGGGAUCUCUUUGAUUGGUUUAAACGAUUUAAGGAAGAACGCCGGGAAAGUCAGGAAUCGCAUCCCGUGUCCCCUGUUUCUAUUGGAUGCUUUGGGUGGAAAUCCCGCCUUAUAGAUUUUAGAGGACGGGGUGACUGCAAUUGAAUUGCAAUGGCUGUUGGAUAUCUCCAGAGGGCGACCUGUGCUUUCUUUCCUGAGUGAAUUGUGAGGAUAAGUAGCAUAAGUCUGUGGUUAUGAUGGCCUGAACUUAUUAGAUUUUACCACCCGUAAUCACAGCUUCAAAACCCACUGGAUUAAAGCACAACAAUAUCUAUCUUGAAUAUUAUAUCUCACUUUAUCUUUCCACAGAACAUGCACAGGACACACAUUGCCACUGGUCUAAAGGAAGCGGUUACAUUUGUUCAGACAUCAGCUUCAUCCACGUCAGAGCAGUGAGCAAGUGCUUUCCCGAGGAGCUGCUGCUGUUUUUUUAAUGGGCUGAGAGGGAUGUGAAGAGCCCGAGCAGUCAUUCAAAGUAUUAUUACACUCCUGGGCUGCGCACUGCCUGCUUGGCCCCUUGCUGAGGUCGUGGAAGAUGGAUGGCUCGCUGGAGCAGCAAUUAAUAAUGUUUUUACAAGAGCAAUGGAGGCGUGCGCAAGCCACGGACGGAUUGGGCAGAGUAUUGAAAUGUGCAGGUGAAUUGAUUGGCCCUUCGGAUUUCCUGUAGAAAUCAUUUGGAUUAAUUGAAAGCACUGGGAGGGAGGAGGGAAGGUGCAGGGCGUGUAUUGAUUUAUAGGUCUCACUCAGAAGAAAAAGAAGAAAAGAAAAUGGCCACCUUGCUCAUGGAGACGUGAUGAGGUGGUUUCAGGUUGGCUGCCACUCAGCAAUCAUUGGACUAUAGUAUUGUUAGUAUGGACAAGCAAAACUCAUCUAUUGCAAUAUAGAUUCAAUAUAGAUUAAAAAAAAAUACUGCUAGGAAAAAAUUACUGUAAGGAUGGUCCACUCAAAUGCUGCAUAAACAUAAAGUUUGCUCCUUAUUUUCAUAAUCUUUUCAAUUCCCAUCAUUUGCACACACAUUUGCACACUGAGGCCAAUGCUGACCUUCUGAAUGUACCAUCUGAAAACACAAGAGAGCUGUUUUGGACAAUUUUUUUGUUAGUUACUCAAUACUGCCCCCUGUGGUGUCUGUGUUACUAAGAGUCUCAUACUGUAUGUUGGCAAAUGUCAAUGUGUAAUUUAU
Long non-coding RNA from Megalobrama amblycephala (Wuchang bream), 1278 nucleotides. RefSeq lists it as uncharacterized. The transcript is spliced from 3 exons. The record is from RefSeq and is a predicted model, not a curated record. NCBI's taxonomy places the organism in Eukaryota, Metazoa, Chordata, Actinopteri, Cypriniformes, Xenocyprididae.